This 667-nucleotide long non-coding RNA is filed under the name Lathyrus oleraceus (garden pea). RNAcentral's name for it is "Pisum sativum (pea) long non-coding RNA (PSAT_LNC026216)". The record is from RNAcentral. Lineage: Eukaryota; Viridiplantae; Streptophyta; Magnoliopsida; Fabales; Fabaceae.
UGUGUUGUUAUUAACUUCUUCUAUCUUCUUCUUUGUUCGUGCUUCUGAGUUGGUUGUUAAAUUUGCAUGCGAGAGUUAGGGAAGAGUGAUGUGAGCUUCUGCGAGAGUGAAUUGAAUUGGGUUCAAUUCAAAUUCUGUUGAGAAAGGGAAUUCUUGGUGCAUAGUGAAUUGUGAGGGAGAGAAAAUGCAAGUGUGGUGAGUGUUCAAUUUAUAGAAUGGAAAGAGUGAGGUUAGUUUAGGAAUUCAAAUGGGAGGUUAGUUAGGUCGAAAUUCUGUUAUGAAAACUGUUAAGGACUGAUGUAGUUAAAUUAGUUAGUUGGUGAGAAUAGUUAGUAGUAGUUUUUUUGUUCAGUUAAGAUGCCUAAAAUUAAAUCAGUUAAAUGCAAGUUUUGUUAGUUUAGUUUUUCUGUUAUUAUUAACAAUAUUGUCAGUUAUUGGUAUGCUAUUAGUUGCAAAUAAUGGUUAGUAAUAGUUCUUGUAAGUUGUUUAUUUAUAUGAAACUAGCCACCCUGUAAAUGAUUGACUGAAUGUUAGAUGAAUGGUGAUGAAGUUGUCAAGUGAAUAUUGUUGUUGAUAUCACUUAUGGUUAUGAAUAUUGGUGAUUUUCGUCAAAACUCUAUAGUGCUUGCAGUUACAAAAUUCAAUUAACUUGUUAUUUUCAAGUUUC